AGGUACAAGAAACGAAGAAAAAGGACAAAGAAAAAAAGGUACAAGAAACGAAGAAAAAAGACAAAGAAACGAAGAAAAAGGACAAGGAAAAAAAGGUAAAAGAAGCGAAGGCAACCGCGUUCAGUGACUAUUCUAUCCUUGGCCGUCUCUGUGAAGAGAACAGACAUUUGAUGCCGAAUUUGAAUAGAAUAAUGAAUAUCAAAGCAUUACAAGACACCAUGAAAAGAGGGGAAGAAUAUUUCCGCCCGGUACAAGAAUACAGGGAGACCAUGGAUGCAAUAAAUAGUUACGAUCCUUCUGGUGACAAUGGUGUCGAGUGUUUAGACCCCGAUGGUGAACCAAGAGUACAACCCUAUUACCAAUGGCAGUUACGAGGCGAACCAAGAAAGCAGCCAGAUGUAAAAGAUUCGUCUGAUGACUCAUCAUCAACUAAUCAGUCUAAGAAUAGACCAGAAGACGAGACUAGGGUGCAGAGCUCGGCAGGAGAAGACACGACGGCAGUCCACCAUCGCGGCAGCAAAAAUGAAAGUCAAAUUAUUGAAAUGGAAUCGACUACAUAAAACUACACCAGACGUAUCAAGUGUAAUUCAGAGUUAAUAAGUGGUGUAACUAACGUUAGUUGUUUAAAUAGCACGACAUGAUUUGGGCUAUUUGUUUAUGAUGAGAGGAACAAAACUUGACUUCCUCAUAUACUAGCAAAGGAGUAGGUAAACAAGAAAUGCCUUUAAAACAAAUGGCCACGAGACCAUUAGAUAAUGGUGAGGAUGACAUGGUGGCAGAAGAUCUUUCGUUAACGACUUAAAGUAUAUCUUUUGAAAUACAUGUAGCCUUUCAAUGUCGGACAUCCGAUGUAGGACUGAUUUAAAGAAAAUGAUAUUGUAACCUUUAACAUGUAGAGGCUGUUCUUAUGUGCGCCAUAAAGUGCUGUAACCCUGGAUUUACAUGUAAUUACUCAGUUACGAGCAUAUUACGUAGCUGUAUAUGGAUAUGAAGGUACAAAACACUCCGAAUGGUCACCACAUACUAUUAUACAUAUACCAUAGACAAAGAUGAAAGUGUAAUAGGUCUAGUACAUGCACGUAUACAUGCACGUAUACAUGCACAUAUAAGUUCGGCCGUUUAGAUUAAAUGCGUCUAGUUAUUAUGAUAAUCGCUGAAGUUCCAACGUUUGAGAUGAUGUUGAUUUUUUUGCGUUCGGUAAUCUGUUCUAUAGUUACUUUAUGUUUGUAGUUGCUAUUAUUGUUAUUAAUUUACAUUAUCGUACGCAAGGCAUUAUAUCCUUCCUUAGAAAGUUUACUACCUUUUUGCUGUUCUGUAACAUUUUUGUUCGUGCAGAUAUGAUAGAGGACAAAUAAAAGUUAGUUGUUAAAUAUUACCGACUGCUGUAUCGAAUUCGCCUAUGAAUUGGAAUUUAAUAGUAACAUUAAUCUAACAAUUUGGAUACGUUUUUCUUAUUAUGAUUCUGAUGAUUGGGAAAUUUUGAAAUAAAACAAAUGCAGCUAUG
This is a long non-coding RNA of Branchiostoma floridae (Florida lancelet), 1504 nucleotides long. RefSeq lists it as uncharacterized. NCBI's taxonomy places the organism in Eukaryota, Metazoa, Chordata, Leptocardii, Amphioxiformes, Branchiostomatidae. The record is from RefSeq and is a predicted model, not a curated record. The transcript is spliced from 3 exons.